AGAGUUUGAUCAUGGCUCAGAGUGAACGCUGGCGGCAGGCCUAACACAUGCAAGUCGAACGGCAGCACAGCAGAGCUUGCUCUGUGGGUGGCGAGUGGCGGACGGGUGAGGAAUACGUGGGAAUCUGCCCAGUCGUGGGGGAUAACGUAGGGAAACUUACGCUAAUACCGCAUGCGCCCUUCGGGGGAAAGCCGGGGACCUUCGGGCCUGGCGCGAUUGGAUGAGCCCACGUCGGAUUAGCUAGUUGGCGGGUAAAGGCCCACCAAGGCGACGAUCCGUAGCUGGUCUGAGAGGAUGAUCAGCCACACUGGAACUGAGACACGGUCCAGACUCCUACGGGAGGCAGCAGUAGGGAAUAUUGGACAAUGGGCGCAAGCCUGAUCCAGCCAUGCCGCGUGAGUGAAGAAGGCCCUCGGGUUGUAAAGCUCUUUUGUCCGGAAAGAAAAGCGCCGGGUUAAUACCCUGGUGUCCUGACGGUACCGGAAGAAUAAGCACCGGCUAACUUCGUG
RNAcentral lists this ribosomal RNA (509 nucleotides) under uncultured bacterium. Its description in RNAcentral is "bacterial SSU rRNA". It matches the Rfam family "Bacterial small subunit ribosomal RNA", at positions 8 to 507 of the family's 1533-position model. The record is from RNAcentral.